This 21-nucleotide ribosomal RNA is filed under the name Trebouxia arboricola. RNAcentral's name for it is "partial 26S ribosomal RNA". Lineage: Eukaryota; Viridiplantae; Chlorophyta; Trebouxiophyceae; Trebouxiales; Trebouxiaceae. The record is from RNAcentral. RNAcentral also lists the same sequence under 2 other names.
UCGACCUGAGGUCAGGCAAGA